RNAcentral lists this ribosomal RNA (232 nucleotides) under uncultured bacterium. RNAcentral describes it as "partial 16S ribosomal RNA". It matches the Rfam family "Bacterial small subunit ribosomal RNA", at positions 99 to 334 of the family's 1533-position model. The record is from RNAcentral.
CGGACGGGUGAGUAAUGCUUGGGAAUCUAGCUUAUGGAGGGGGAUAACUACGGGAAACUGUAGCUAAUACCGCGUAGAAUCGGGAGAUGAAAGUGUGGGACCUUCGGGCCACAUGCCAUAGGAUGAGCCCAAGUGGGGUUAGGUAGUUGGUGAGGUAAAGGCUCACCAAGCCGACGAUCUCUAGCUGGUCUGAGAGGAUGACCAGCCACACUGGGACUGAGACACGGCCCAG